Non-coding RNA from Vicia faba (fava bean), 195 nucleotides. Lineage: Eukaryota; Viridiplantae; Streptophyta; Magnoliopsida; Fabales; Fabaceae. The record is from the annotation of a GenBank genome assembly.
AUGUUAGGAUCUGCAUGUGGGAGUAAUGUAUUUCAUUCUCCAUUUCUUCUUUUUAUACUUCACUGGCCGUCUUGCUUCGGCGCCGUUGCAGUUGUGUCCUUCACUCGCAGACAGUGUCUUUCACUCCCUGUCAUUCUUCUUCUCCGCCACUGUAUCGGUGUCUACCUAUGCUGCAAUUUUCUCCUUUUUCAUUAA